UACGAAGGGGGCGAGCGUUGGUCGGAUUUACUGGGCGUAAAGGGCGCGCAGGCGGCUCAUUUUGUCAGGCGUGAAAGCCCCGGGCUUAACCUGGGAACUGCGUUUGAUACGGGUGGGCUAGAGUUCGGGAGAGGAGAGUGGAAUUCUCAGUGUAGAGGUGAAAUUCGUAGAUAUUGGGAAGAACACCGGUGGCGAAGGCGGCUCUCUGGGCCGAUACUGACGCUGAGGCGCGAAAGCGUGGGGAGCAAACAGG
This 253-nucleotide ribosomal RNA is filed under the name uncultured bacterium. Its description in RNAcentral is "partial 16S ribosomal RNA". It matches the Rfam family "Bacterial small subunit ribosomal RNA", at positions 524 to 776 of the family's 1533-position model. The record is from RNAcentral.